Molecule: ribosomal RNA, 497 nt
Filed under: uncultured bacterium
Lineage: Bacteria
Description: partial 16S ribosomal RNA
Rfam family: Bacterial small subunit ribosomal RNA
Source: RNAcentral
GAUGAACGCUGGCGGCGUGCCUAAUACAUGCAAGUCGAGCGAACAGACGAGGAGCUUGCUCCUCUGACGUUAGCGGCGGACGGGUGAGUAACACGUGGAUAACCUACCUAUAAGACUGGGAUAACUUCGGGAAACCGGAGCUAAUACCGGAUAAUAUAUUGAACCGCAUGGUUCAAUAGUGAAAGACGGUUUUGCUGUCACUUAUAGAUGGAUCCGCGCCGCAUUAGCUAGUUGGUAAGGUAACGGCUUACCAAGGCAACGAUGCGUAGCCGACCUGAGAGGGUGAUCGGCCACACUGGAACUGAGACACGGUCCAGACUCCUACGGGAGGCAGCAGUAGGGAAUCUUCCGCAAAGGGCGAAAGCCUGACGGAGCAACGCGGCGUGAGUGAUGAAGGUCUUCGGAUCGUAAAACUCUGUUAUUAGGGAAGAACAAAUGUGUAAGUAACUAUGCACGUCUUGACGGUACCUAAUCAGAAAGCCACGGCUAACUACGUG